AUACGGAGGAUCCGAGCGUUAUACGGAUUUAUUGGGUUUAAAGGGUGCGCAGGCGGCCAUUUAAGUCAGCGGUUAAAUCGUGGGGCUCAACCCCAUUCUGCCGUUGAUACUGGGUGGCUUGAUUGCGGUCGAGGUUGGCGGAAUUCGUUGCGUAGCGGUGAAAUGCAUAGAUAUGACGAAGAACACCGAUUGCGUAGGCAGCUGACCAGACCGCAAAUGACGCUCAUGCACGAAAGUGCGGGGAUCGAACAGGAUUAGAUACCCUGGUAGUCCGCACAGUAAACGAUGAAUACUUGUUUUCGGCGAUAUAAUGUCGGAGGCAAAGCGAAAGCGAUAAGUAUUCCACCUGGGGAGUACGCCGGCAACGGUGAAACUCAAAUGAAUUGACGGGG
Molecule: ribosomal RNA, 392 nt
Filed under: uncultured bacterium
Lineage: Bacteria
Description: partial 16S ribosomal RNA
Rfam family: Bacterial small subunit ribosomal RNA
Source: RNAcentral